AAGCCAAAAUCAAGAGUCAGACACUUGACCAACUGAGCCACCCAGGAUAUAAAAAUUAUACCUAGCUCUCAGACCUUGGUUUCAAAUACCAUUCUGCAAUAAAAGGAAGCAGAGACUCCUAGAGAAAUGGCUGAUUGCAGGACUGGGGCAAGAAAUGUGUAAGACUGUGUAACUGAACCAAUGUGAGUUCAUUCCUGGGUGAGUCUGAAAUUGCACCAGGUUGAGUUGUUGCACAAAGAAAACUUUUUUUAAAUGUUUAUUUUUGAGGAGGGGGGCAGAGAAAGAGGGGAACAGAAGAUCCGACACAGGCUCCGCUCUGACACCAGAGGGCCCAACACGUAGCUGUAACUCCCAAACCGCAAGAUCAUGACUUGAGCUGAAGUUGGACACUCAACUGACUGAGGCACGCUGGUGCCCCAGAAAACUUUUAUUUGCAGCAAUUAAGAUCACAGGGAAUGGCUUCCAAAGCUGAGACUGCUUGAGCAAGGGUGGGUAAGUUCCUUUUAUUUAGGGUUAGGAUGAAUAGACAGGGAAGCCUUGUCAUAGGGUAGAGGCAGGCAUAGGGGUUGCACAUGCGCCUUAAGGAAACUUGCCUAUACACAUUGUAUGUUAUGUAAAUGUUCCUCUUUGGGCAGAGAUUUUAGCAUUAUAAUGAGAUAAAGGUAAUUGUCAGUCAUUUUGCAGGUCACUCUAUGGUCCAUCUACACAGGUAUGAGCCAAGGGUUAAGUUCAAAUUGGUCUGGGUGGUUUGGGCUGGCUGGAGGUCUUGUCAGGGCAGUUGCUGUGGCUCAGAGGACAGUUUGCUUUCCAUUUGCCUGAGUUAAGAGGAAAGCCAGGAAGAAGAGUUUAAGGGAAAAUGUGGGACAAAGGUCAGUGAGGACAAGCAGGUGGACAGUGCAGGUCAGGUCUUGGGGUCUAGCUGGUGACAGUAAGCCUGGAGUAUCCCCCAGUGCCAGAAAGGAAGUACUGAAAAAUGAACAAAACCCCACCAAUGCUGGACGUGUCCGAGGGACACAGACGCCAACUGAAAGAGCUCCUGAUGACUAAAACUGGAGGAACCUGAGUGAUAUGAAUAGCGCUGGAUUAUAUAUAACCCAAAAUAUAA
Long non-coding RNA from Leopardus geoffroyi (Geoffroy's cat), 1105 nucleotides. RefSeq lists it as uncharacterized. The record is from RefSeq and is a predicted model, not a curated record. The transcript is spliced from 2 exons. Lineage: Eukaryota; Metazoa; Chordata; Mammalia; Carnivora; Felidae.